ACUCCUACGGGAGGCAGCAGUGGGGAAUAUUGCACAAUGGGGGAAACCCUGAUGCAGCCAUGCCGCGUGUGUGAAGAAGGCCUUCGGGUUGUAAAGCACUUUCAGUAGGGAGGAAGGUAGUGUAGUUAACACCUGCACUAUUUGACGUUACCUACAGAAGAAGCACCGGCUAACUCCGUGCCAGCAGCCGCGGUAAUACGGAGGGUGCGAGCGUUAAUCGGAAUUACUGGGCGUAAAGCGCAUGCAGGCGGCCUGUUAAGUCAGAUGUGAAAGCCCGGGGCUUAACCUCGGAAUUGCAUUUGAAACUGGCAGGCUAGAGUCUUGUAGAGGGGUAGAAUUUCAGGUGUAGCGGUGAAAUGCGUAGAGAUCUGAAGGAAUACCAGUGGCGAAGGCGGCCCCUGGACAAAGACUGACGCUCAGAUGCGAAAGCGUGGGAGCAAACAGGAUUAGAUACCCCUGGUAGACUGUCA
RNAcentral lists this ribosomal RNA (470 nucleotides) under uncultured bacterium. RNAcentral's name for it is "bacterial SSU rRNA". It matches the Rfam family "Bacterial small subunit ribosomal RNA", at positions 335 to 802 of the family's 1533-position model. The record is from RNAcentral.